This 301-nucleotide RNase P RNA is filed under the name Thermoanaerobacterium thermosaccharolyticum M0795. Its description in RNAcentral is "Bacterial RNase P class A". It matches the Rfam family "Bacterial RNase P class A", at positions 20 to 283 of the family's 367-position model. From Rfam's summary of the family: Ribonuclease P (RNase P) is a ubiquitous endoribonuclease, found in archaea, bacteria and eukarya as well as chloroplasts and mitochondria. Lineage: Bacteria; Bacillati; Bacillota; Clostridia; Thermoanaerobacterales; Thermoanaerobacteraceae. The record is from RNAcentral.
CGUACAAUAUGUACGAGGAAAGUCCGAGCUCCAUAGGGCAAGGUGCCGGGUAAUACCCGGUGGAGGUGACUCCAAGGAAAGUGCAACAGAGAUAUACCGCCCGCUAUUUAUUUUGAUAUGAAUUGUAAUUUUAUUAAGUACGUUAUACAUAUCGAAAUAAGUAGCGGGUAAGGGUGGAAAGGCGAGGUAAGAGCUCACCAGCAUCCAGGCGACUGGAAUGCUCUGUAAACCCCACCUGGAGCAAGGUAAAAUAGGAGGGAAUUAUAAGUGGCCCGCUUAACCCUCGGGUAAAACCGCUAGA